CCUACGGGAGGCAGCAGUAAGGAAUAUUGGUCAAUGGACGCAAGUCUGAACCAGCCAUGCCGCGUGCAGGAUGAAGGCCCUCUGGGUUGUAAACUGCUUUUAUAGGGGACGAAAAAGGGACUUUCUAGUUCAACUGACGGUACCCUAGGAAUAAGCACCGGCUAACUCCGUGCCAGCAGCCGCGGUAAUACGGAGGGUGCAAGCGUUAUCCGGAUUUACUGGGUUUAAAGGGUGCGUAGGUGGGUCGGUAAGUCAGCGGUGAAAUCUUCAAGCUUAACUUGGAAACUGCCAUUGAUACUAUCGAUCUUGAAUCAUCUGGAGGUAAGCGGAAUAUGUCAUGUAGCGGUGAAAUGCUUAGAUAUGACAUAGAACACCAAUUGCGAAGGCAGCUUACUACGGAUGUAUUGACACUGAGGCACGAAAGCGUGGGGAUCAAACAGGAUUAGAUACCCUGGUAGUCCACGCCCUAAACGAUGGAUACUCGACAUACGUGAUAUACUAUGUGUGUCUGAGCGAAAGCAUUAAAGUAUCCCACCUGGGAAGUACGAUUCGCAAGAUUGAAACUUCAAAGGAAUUGAGGGCUUGAGACGNGNGAGACGACGACGAGGAGGAGG
This 614-nucleotide ribosomal RNA is filed under the name uncultured bacterium. RNAcentral's name for it is "bacterial SSU rRNA". It matches the Rfam family "Bacterial small subunit ribosomal RNA", at positions 338 to 956 of the family's 1533-position model. The record is from RNAcentral.